Molecule: long non-coding RNA, 962 nt
Filed under: Panax ginseng (ginseng)
Lineage: Eukaryota; Viridiplantae; Streptophyta; Magnoliopsida; Apiales; Araliaceae
Description: long non-coding RNA (PGIN_LNC001989)
Source: RNAcentral
GUUGUCAUAAAUGUGAUUCUGUAAUAUUAUUUGUGAAUAAUUAAUUAUUGAUUCAUAUGAUAAGGAAAUAUUUAUUUUAUGUGAAUAUAAAUGAUGGAUUUAUUUAUGUGGUUAUUCAUGAAGGAGUUAAUGUUGAGGUGUUUUAUUAGUAUUUUUGUCGGAAUGAAGGUAUUAAAAAAUUAAACCAGUGUUUUUGAAAUAUAUUGUGUGAGUUAUAAUUUUUAAUCUGACCAUUGGAUCGUUGUAAUUUUUGGAUAUGUUAUACAUAUAUAAGUUGAGUAUAUGUCCACAAAUUUUGAACCGUUAAAAAUGAACGUAUAAUUUGUUAUGAAUUUUAAGAGGUGACUGGUUCAGAAAUUGUUGAAGUAUCCGAAUUUAGCAUUUUGGUGGAAAAUUCUAGAAUUGAGUGGACCCCACUUGUGGUUGGUGAAGAAAUGUGCUGAAUUUUAUUUCAAAUAUGGUGGGUGGCAAUAGUAGCAGGUAAAGCCAUCAGGUUGCAGGUCAAGUCUGCUUCAAUGUGCUAACAUUUUUCUAAAAAUAGAGGGCUAAGUUAGAAUUGAAAAUCACACCAGAAUUCAUAAGUUUUCUCUCUUUCUCUUUAUAUAUUAUCGAGCGUAUUCUUGUGAGUAUUUUGAUACUUUGAGUGUUGCUAUACGGUGCAAGUUCCUUCAGCACUAUAUCCAGUAUUCCAGUCAAAAGUACUGUCUUUUUGAGGUAAGGGAUGUUAUUUUCGUCGUAAGUGAUAUUAUUUCUUCAAUAUCAUUAUGCCGAAAUAUUUGUUGGAACUUUUUAUCAAAUUUGAAACUUUUCAUGUCGGGGUUACUAUUCAUGAGUUACUAUUUAUGAGUUACUAUUCACGAGUUACUAUUCACGCGUAUUAUUUACGAAGCAUGAUAAUUUUUCUUGUGAAAUUUCUAUCUUUUAGUGUCGGAGUUACUAUUCACGUAUACGGCACUAUUCAC